UAGACGGAUUCCAAACAAGCCGAUGCCCAGUCAGCCCACGAAUUCACCCUUACCGCCAUUAUACCCGCGUUGGCAGGUGCCAACAUGAUUUACGGCGUAG
Molecule: non-coding RNA, 100 nt
Organism: Desulfobacteraceae bacterium 4572_123
Lineage: Bacteria; Pseudomonadati; Thermodesulfobacteriota; Desulfobacteria; Desulfobacterales; Desulfobacteraceae
Source: Rfam